UCUUACCUAACCAAAAACUUUGGUUACAACACUUUUCCAAGAACAAAUAUUUUACAGCUAUCCAGGUAGAAGUAUUUUUCACCCCUCCAAGUACAAAUAUUAUCCACCUCUCUAGGCACAAGUAUUCUAGACCUCUCCAAGUACAAGUAUUCUCCAUCUCUCCAAGUACAAGUACUCUUCACCUCUAUAGGUAAGUAUUCUACACCUCUUUAGGUACAAGUAUUCUCCACCUCUCCAGGUAAAUAAGUUAUAAUCUUCCAUUUAGAUUAAGACUCUCAAAUGAGAAAAACACUCCUGAAAGAGAGAACAAUCAAAGUUUAUUGGAUAUACUUCACAAUGUGAAA
RNAcentral lists this long non-coding RNA (344 nucleotides) under Phaseolus vulgaris (common bean). RNAcentral's name for it is "long non-coding RNA (PVUL_LNC002860)". Lineage: Eukaryota; Viridiplantae; Streptophyta; Magnoliopsida; Fabales; Fabaceae. The record is from RNAcentral.